RNAcentral lists this ribosomal RNA (131 nucleotides) under Murimonas intestini. RNAcentral describes it as "partial 23S ribosomal RNA". It matches the Rfam family "Bacterial large subunit ribosomal RNA", at positions 2792 to 2925 of the family's 2925-position model. Lineage: Bacteria; Bacillati; Bacillota; Clostridia; Lachnospirales; Lachnospiraceae. The record is from RNAcentral.
GCCCCCCUCAAGAUGAGAUAUCCCCCGCGAAAGCGGUAAGACCCCUUGAAGACGACGAGGUAGAUAGGUUGGAGGUGGAAGCGCAGCAAUGCGUGUAGCUGACCAAUACUAAUAGGUCGAAGGCUUAUCCA